GACUCUCAGCAACGGAUAUCUCGGCUCUCGCAUCAAUGAAGAAUGUAGCAAAAUGCGAUACCUGGUGUGAAUUGCAGAAUCCCGCGAACCAUCGAGUUUUUGAACGCAACUUGCCCUCGAUAUUCUGGAGCGGGCUGGGAUGACUGAUUGCAAGCCC
Molecule: ribosomal RNA, 157 nt
Organism: Panicum virgatum (switchgrass)
Lineage: Eukaryota; Viridiplantae; Streptophyta; Magnoliopsida; Poales; Poaceae
Product: 5.8S ribosomal RNA
Exons: 1
Source: RefSeq, a predicted model, not a curated record